UGGCUCAUAUUGUCACCAAGUCGCUACCAAUCACUUUACCUGCCAAAAUGGUAUCAACAAGCCUAGGCACUAUAUCACCCGCUUUGCCUGUAAGGUGAUAUUGAAAUUGACUGUGUCUAUCGGAAGCCAUUAAAUUCACUUCAACCGUCUGAGCACCAUGAUGAUUUGCGCUAUCCACAAACCCUGCUGCGGGAUAGACUGUGCCAGAGGUUCCUAUUGCAAUAAACAGAUCGCAACUAUCAAGCGCAUCAUGAAUUCGAUCCAUUCCUAAUGGCAUUUCACCAAACCAGACCACGUGGGGACGUAAACGCUGAGCGGGAAUACAGCAGGUACAGCAAUUAUCAGGACCAAAUGGCUCACGCAAAAGAAAGGUUUGACGCGAACGCGGGCACCGACCUUUAGACAAUUCGCCAUGCAUAUGCAACAACCGGCGGGAGCCUGCUCGCUCAUGCAAAUCAUCAAUAUUCUGCGUUACUAUCAAUAAUUGCCCUACAAACUGCGCUUCUAGUUUUGCUAAAGCCUGAUGUGCGGGGUUUGGAGCCACUGCCCCACUAUGCAAUUGUUGCCAACGGCUAUUAUAAAAUCGUUCCACUAACUCAGCAUCACGCUCAUAGCCUUCAGGCGUCGCGACAUCUUCAAUAUGAUGCUCUUCCCAUAAACCAUCUUGAUCGCGAAAGGUACGUAAUCCCGAUUCAGCAGAGAUCCCCGCGCCAGUUAAUACCACUAUAUGUUGGUACAUGCCGAUUCCUUUUAUUCUCUUUAUUAUUCUUAUUGUCACGGACUUUUAUGGUCGUGAACAUUAUUCCUUGGUAUAACCUUACAAAAACUAUGCUUGAAUUGUCGCAAUUUAUUGUAAUUUCGCGCCAAUUAACACAAUUUAUCUGCAUAUAAGACCAGAAAGCUAGAACAAAGGUUUAAGUUUUCAAUUUCACCCCCUAUAAUGACAAGCUCUAUCCACGGAUGAACCUAUUGGUUCUGCAAUCAAGAGAUUAGCAAUGACAGAUGGAAAUCAAGCGCUAAAAAAAGCGGGUUUGAAAAUUACCCUGCCACGAGUCAAGAUCCUAGAACUGAUGCAAGGACCUGAAAAUCAACAUAUCAGUGCAGAAGACUUAUACAAGAAACUGCUCGAUAUUGGUGAAGAAAUUGGUCUUGCUACAGUCUACCGUGUGUUAAACCAAUUUGAUGAUGCCGGCAUCGUCAGUCGUCAUCAUUUUGAAAGCGGUAAAGCCGUAUUUGAAUUGUCGACUCAGCACCACCAUGAUCACUUAGUUUGCCUAUCCUGUGGCAAAGUGAUUGAGUUUUCAGAUGAAGUUAUCGAACGUCGUCAAGAUGAAAUAGCCAUGAAGCAUAAUAUUAAGCUAACUAAUCACAGCUUAUAUCUCUAUGGCCAUUGCACUAAUGACAACUGCGAUCACAACGACGAGUAGUCAACCGUCUUUAGCCACAGUCUCUAGACUGCAGGGUGUUAAACACACGAAAUCUAAAAACCAGCCGUCGGCUGGUUUUUUAUUUAGAGUGAUAAUUAUAAUGUUCUGGCGUAAAUAUUGACCCUAUGCCCCAUAAAUUCACUGUACUCCCGCCAAGACAUACCAAUGCGUUUAGCCACAGCUUCAGAGGCCACGUUUCCCUCUAAAAUUAAUGCUAUCGUUUUAUCAAUCCCAAAUUGUGGAAAUACCUUUAGUGCAGCCUGUGCCGCUUCACUGCCAAUUCCCAUUCCCCAAUACUCAGGAAAAUAACGAUAACCAAUUUCAACUUCGUUAAACUCUGGAAUAAACUUCGGCCCACAAAAACCAAUCACUUUAUUAUCGGCCUUGUGCUCAACGGCCCAACGGCCAAAUCCGUGUUGUUGGUAAUCUGCUUGGAUCACAUUAUGAAAUAAUACUUCGGCCUGCUCACGGGAAGUAAAAGCCGCUGUGGGAAUGUAUUUCAGCAUGGCAGGAUUACUAUUCAUCAAAUACAGCGCCUCAAUAUCUUGCUCUGUAAAUGGCCUAAUAAUUAAGCGUUCGGUCUGCGUUAUCAUCUCAACUCCCUAUACCACUGCUGAAAAUAAGGCGUAAAGUAACACACUUACUUUACGCCAAUUGAUUAGCGGUGAAAAUCGCCACUACGCUCUGGUUGAUAUACAAUCUCUUCAAUACGAACCUUAACCAUAGUGCCGCCAGGACCUGGCCAUUCAAUAUCAUCACCUUGUGAUAAUCCAAGCAAUGCGCUGCCUACCGGGGCAAGAAUGGAAAUAGUUCCUUCGCCAUUAGCAUCCUUGGGAUACACUAACCGUAGACAAAAAGUAUCGUUACUGGAUGAAACACUAAAUUUAACCAACGAGUUCAUUGUAACGACAUUGUCAGGCAUUUCGGUCGCGGGGACCAUCUCAGCUCUAUCAAGUUCAGCCUCUAAUGCCGUUUUCCCUGGAAAUGCAUUCGCUGGUAGUGACUCUAAUAAUCGUUCUAAUCUUUCCAAAUCGAUUUCAGAAAUAAUAAUGUUAGGUGUAUUCACAGUCUUUCCCUCAUUAAAAAACCUGAUGUAGUAGCCCAUAGCGGUGACAAACAUCAAACCAUUGCUUACCCUUUCCUUGCGAUAAGCGCCAUAAAAAAUAACUACGCUUACAGCACUAAGCUGCAAUCGUGUCGUAUAAAAAAGUUAAGAUUGGUUGCUGAAACAGCAUUGAUGCCAUAAACACUAAGCUUACGGUUAUAGGCUCAACUAGGACUCAUUCGCGCCAAGAGACAAGCUGCCAAUAUCCUAGAGUAUACUUUAAUCUAACCCGUUAAAGAUAAAAUAUCUAGUCUUCAUGGUGUUAGCUCAAUCCCAUUCCCAUCAUUUGCUGGGUUUCAUCACGUAAAUGACCGCCAAUAAAAAAGGCGCCUUAGGCGCCUUUUAGUGUUUAA
This 2885-nucleotide ribosomal RNA is filed under the name Shewanella putrefaciens. Its description in RNAcentral is "23S ribosomal RNA". Lineage: Bacteria; Pseudomonadati; Pseudomonadota; Gammaproteobacteria; Alteromonadales; Shewanellaceae. The record is from RNAcentral.